Molecule: ribosomal RNA, 467 nt
Filed under: uncultured Desulfobulbus sp.
Lineage: Bacteria; Pseudomonadati; Thermodesulfobacteriota; Desulfobulbia; Desulfobulbales; Desulfobulbaceae
Description: bacterial SSU rRNA
Rfam family: Bacterial small subunit ribosomal RNA
Source: RNAcentral
GGCACAAGCGGUGGAGUAUGUGGUUUAAUUUCGAUGCAACGCGAAGAACCUUACCUGGUCUUGACAUCCCGGAGACCCUUAGGAAACUAGGGGGUGCUUCCAUCUGGAAGAAUCUGGAGACAGGUGCUGCAUGGCUGUCGUCAGCUCGUGUCGUGAGAUGUUGGGUUAAGUCCCGCAACGAGCGCAACCCUUGCCUUUAGUUGCCAGCAGUUCGGCUGGGCACUCUAAAGGGACUGCCGGUGUUAAACCGGAGGAAGGUGGGGAUGACGUCAAGUCCUCAUGGCCUUUAUGACCAGGGCUACACACGUACUACAAUGGCCGAUACAAAGGGCAGCGACACUGCGAGGUGAAGCCAAUCCCGUAAAAUCGGUCUCAGUCCGGAUUGGAGUCUGCAACUCGACUCCAUGAAGUUGGAAUCGCUAGUAAUCGUGGAUCAGCAUGCCACGGUGAAUACGUUCCCGGGCCUU